This 122-nucleotide small nucleolar RNA is filed under the name Echinops telfairi (small Madagascar hedgehog). RNAcentral's name for it is "Small nucleolar RNA SNORA61 (ENSETEG00000024884.1)". The record is from RNAcentral. Lineage: Eukaryota; Metazoa; Chordata; Mammalia; Afrosoricida; Tenrecidae.
AACCAUGCAUUUUCCUUACCCAUCACACGAGCACACUGGUCGGAGUGGUUCUGAAAAAAGGAAGAGUGAAAUUGAAACUAACUUAAAUUAUUUUGUGACACACAGGUCCGUUUCAAACAAAC